GAUGAACGCUAGCGGGAGGCUUAAUACAUGCAAGUCGAGCGGCAAGUUUUGAUAGCAAUAUUGGAACCUAGAGCGGCGCACGGGUGAGUAACGCGUGAGCAACCUGACCUUAGAGGGGAGUAACAUUUGGUAAACAGAUGCUAAUACCGCAUAAGACCACGAUCCGACAUCGGGACGAGGUCAAAGGAGCAAUCCGCUGAGGGAGGGGCUCGCGUCCCAUUAGAUAGAUGGCGGGGUAACGGCCCGACCAUGUCGACGAUGGGUAGCCGAGCUGAGAGGCUGAUCGGCCACACUGGAACUGAGACACGGUCCAGACUCCUACGGGAGGCAGCAGUAGGGAAUAUUGGACAAUGGGCGAAAGCCUGAUCCAGCCAUGCCGCGUGAUAGAUGAAGGCCCUCUGGGUUGUAAAUAUCUUUUAUCUGGGAAGAAACACCUCGUUUCUACGAGGCUUG
Molecule: ribosomal RNA, 453 nt
Filed under: uncultured bacterium
Lineage: Bacteria
Description: bacterial SSU rRNA
Rfam family: Bacterial small subunit ribosomal RNA
Source: RNAcentral